This 102-nucleotide ribosomal RNA is filed under the name Bacillota bacterium. RNAcentral's name for it is "Firmicutes bacterium (anaerobic digester metagenome) partial 16S ribosomal RNA". It matches the Rfam family "Bacterial small subunit ribosomal RNA", at positions 1441 to 1533 of the family's 1533-position model. The record is from RNAcentral. Lineage: Bacteria; Bacillati; Bacillota.
CAAGGGAGGGAGCCGUCGAAGGUGGGGCAGAUGAUUGGGGUGAAGUCGUAACAAGGUAGCCGUAUCGGAAGGUGCGGCUGGAUCACCUCCUUUCUAAGGAGC